AGAAACAGGCAAGAAACAACAUCAGUGAUGGGCCUUCCCUUCAGAUAAAACUACAGCAUUCUGGAUUCAGAUACUAUGGUGGUGGAUAUCUUAAAUCUCUGGAUAGAGGAUGAAGAGGCUCCAAAUCUACAUCUCCUUUUACCAGAGCUGCUGUUUUUCAUUGAAUAUUUGGAGUAUCCCCAAACCAGCCAGCAGUUGAAUAGCCUUGUUGCUGGCUCCAUUAGAUAAAUUAUGCCCUAUUAUCCUUACCCUACUGUAAUGCACAAACACCACCACAGUUAUGCAGCUUUAGACCCUGACAAGGAUGCCUCUGCCCUGUCCAGUUUAUUAAUAGAGGCUAUGGAAGUGAACUUGCUAACAUUGAUAGUCAAAAGCAACACUGGCUUUCGAGUCUCGAAUACAGACGUUCUAGGGAAAUCAGAAUGUGACUAUUGCCAGGUACUGUACAGGAAUGAAGUCUGAAUUUCAAAAGCCAGAAAAAACAACUGCACAUUCUUUCUGACAA
Molecule: non-coding RNA, 505 nt
Organism: Chrysemys picta bellii (western painted turtle)
Lineage: Eukaryota; Metazoa; Chordata; Testudines; Emydidae
Source: RefSeq, a predicted model, not a curated record